UGAUGCAGACGGCCCCACCUCA
RNAcentral lists this non-coding RNA (22 nucleotides) under Mus musculus (house mouse). Lineage: Eukaryota; Metazoa; Chordata; Mammalia; Rodentia; Muridae. The record is from RNAcentral.